GAGAGUAUAGCUCAGUGGUGGAGUGUGUGCCUAGCACACACGAGGUCCUGGGUUCAAUCCCCAGUACCUCCA
Molecule: transfer RNA, 72 nt
Organism: Camelus ferus (Wild Bactrian camel)
Lineage: Eukaryota; Metazoa; Chordata; Mammalia; Artiodactyla; Camelidae
Rfam family: tRNA
About the family: Transfer RNA (tRNA) molecules are approximately 80 nucleotides in length. Their secondary structure includes four short double-helical elements and three loops (D, anti-codon, and T loops). Further hydrogen bonds mediate the characteristic L-shaped molecular structure. tRNAs have two regions of fundamental functional importance: the anti-codon, which is responsible for specific mRNA codon recognition, and the 3' end, to which the tRNAs corresponding amino acid is attached (by aminoacyl-tRNA synthetases). tRNAs cope with the degeneracy of the genetic code in two manners: having more than one tRNA (with a specific anti-codon) for a particular amino acid; and 'wobble' base-pairing, i.e. permitting non-standard base-pairing at the 3rd anti-codon position.
Source: Rfam